GGGUCGAUGCCCGAGUGGUUAAUGGGGGCGGACUGUAAAUCCGCUGGCUACGCCUACGUUGGUUCAAAUCCAACUCGGCCCA
This 82-nucleotide transfer RNA is filed under the name Xenococcus sp. PCC 7305. It matches the Rfam family "tRNA". Rfam says of the family: Transfer RNA (tRNA) molecules are approximately 80 nucleotides in length. Their secondary structure includes four short double-helical elements and three loops (D, anti-codon, and T loops). Further hydrogen bonds mediate the characteristic L-shaped molecular structure. tRNAs have two regions of fundamental functional importance: the anti-codon, which is responsible for specific mRNA codon recognition, and the 3' end, to which the tRNAs corresponding amino acid is attached (by aminoacyl-tRNA synthetases). tRNAs cope with the degeneracy of the genetic code in two manners: having more than one tRNA (with a specific anti-codon) for a particular amino acid; and 'wobble' base-pairing, i.e. permitting non-standard base-pairing at the 3rd anti-codon position. Lineage: Bacteria; Bacillati; Cyanobacteriota; Cyanophyceae; Pleurocapsales; Xenococcaceae. RNAcentral also lists the same sequence under 8 other names. The record is from Rfam by way of RNAcentral.